CCUACGGGAGGCAGCAGUGAGGAAUAUUGGUCAAUGGGCGGGAGCCUGAACCAGCCAAGUCGCGUGAGGGACGACGGUCCUAUGGAUUGUAAACCUCUUUAGGCGGGGAGCAAUGCCGGGCACGCGUGCCCGGAGGGAGAGUACCCGCAGAAUAAGCAUCGGCUAACUCCGUGACAGCAGCCGCGGUAAUACGGAGGAUGCGAGCGUUACCCGGAUUUAUUGUGUUUAAAGGGUGCGGAGGCGGAGUUUUAAGUCAGCGGUAAAAUGUCCGGGCUCAACCCGGGCGGGCCGUUGAAACUGGGGAUCUUGAGUGGGCGAGAAGUAUGCGGAAUGCGUGGUGUAGCGGUGAAAUGCAUAGAUAUCACGCAGAACACCGAUUGCGAAGGCAGCAUACCGGCGCCCGACUGACGCUGAGGCACGAAAGCGUGGGGAUCGAACAGGAUUAGAUACCCGAGUAGUC
Molecule: ribosomal RNA, 460 nt
Filed under: uncultured bacterium
Lineage: Bacteria
Description: partial 16S ribosomal RNA
Rfam family: Bacterial small subunit ribosomal RNA
Source: RNAcentral